UACAGUUAGUGAAGGCUGGUUGCAGGCAGUGCCGUUGGUUGCUGGUUGAUUACAGUUAGUUAGUGAAGGCUGGUUGCAGGCAGUGCCGUUGGUUGGUUGGUUGAUUACAGUUAGUGAAGGCUGGUUGCAGGCAGUGCCGUUGGUUGCUGGUUGAUUACAGUUAGUUAGUGAAGGCUGGUUGCAGGCAGUACCGUUGGUUGCUGGUUGGUUGCAGUUAGUUAGUGAAGGCUGGUUGCAGGCAGUGCCGUUGGUUGGUUGGUUGAUUACAGUUAGUUAGUGAAGGCUGGUUGCAGGCAGUACCGUUGGUUGCUGGUUGAUUACAGUUAGUUAGUGAAGGCUGGUUGCAGGCAGUACCGUUGGUUGCUGGUUGAUUACAGUUAGUUAGUGAAGGCUGGUUGCAGGCAGUGCCGUUGGUUGGUUGGUUGAUUACAGCUAGUUAGUGAAGGCUGGUUGCAGGCAGUGCCGUUGGUUGGUUGGUUGAUUACAGGUAGUUAGGGAAGGCUGGUUGCAGGCAGUGCCGUUGGUUGCUGGUUGAUUGCAGUUAGUUAGUGAAGGCUGGUUGCAGGCAGUGCCGUUGGUUGGUUGAUUACAGUUAAGUUAGUGAAGGCUGGUUGCAGGCAGUACCGUUAGUUGCUGGUUGAUUGCAGUUAGUUAGUGAAGGCUGGUUGCAGGCAGUGCCGUUGGUUGGUUGGUUGAUUACAGUUAGUUAGUGAAGGCUGGUUGCAGGCAGUACCGUUGGUUGGUUGGUUGAUUACAGUUAGUUAGUGAAGGCUGGUUGCAGGCAGUACCGUUAGUUGCUGGUUGAUUGCAGUUAGUUAGUGAAGGCUGGUUGCAGGCAGUGCCGUUGGUUGGUUGGUUGAUUACAGUUAGUUAGUGAAGGCUGGUUGCAGGCAGUACCGUUGGUUGCUGGUUGAUUACAGUUAGUUAGUGAAGGCUGGUUGCAGGCAGUGCCGUUGGUUGGUUGGUUGAUUACAGCUAGUUAGUGAAGGCUGGUUGCAGGCAGUGCCGUUGGUUGGUUGGUUGAUUACAGGUAGUUAGGGAAGGCUGGUUGCAGGCAGUGCCGUUGGUUGCUGGUUGAUUGCAGUUAGUUAGUGAAGGCUGGUUGCAGGCAGUGCCGUUGGUUGGUUGAUUACAGUUAAUUAGUGAAGGCUGGUUGCAGGCAGUGCCUGCCGUUGGUUGGUUGGUUGAUUACAGGUAGUUAGGGAAGGCUGGUUGCUGGCAGUGCCAUUUGUUGGUAGAGGCAAGAGGACAGCGCUGAGAGUGAGGAGAGUGGCCCCUGCUCUAGGGCCAUGUUUUCCUUUUGCUUCCUCUUCCUUUGGUAACAAAUAAAUAUAAUAAUUGCCAGCAAUUUGGGCAGGAGGGGCUAUUGGGAAAUGGCAAUUUUAAAUGUUAUUUCCUUUCUAACACUAGAUUUAAGAUAUAACAAAGUUGCUGGGCUUGGGGGGACUAUUCCUGAUACUGAUUGGAAGAGAGUCACAGGUACGCUCAAGCUGAGGCUGACUGGGCAUGCAGGGCCCUCCUGCGUCCUGGCUAGAAGGGACACAGCCAGGUUUUCUCUCAUGUCGAAGUAUCGAAGUAUCGCACAGUUUUCCUUGUUAGGAAACAGUUUGCAAGAUGGAGAAAGUCACUUCCCUAUAGAUUCCACAUUCCACAUUUACAAAUGGAAGUAAUUUGUCAUAAUGUUUCAUUUUAAAGAUCAUCCCGUGGAAGAUGGAAGAGAAGACGCACCACUAUACAAAUAACCCUGCUAUUUCAUGGCUAAGAGAAAAACUGGCUGUUGAAAAUCAACAACUGAACUUGUGAACAGUGGGAUGAUUUAAACUUGUAUAAGAAAGUAAAAAUGGGUACUGCUGCUGCUCUUCCUAAGUCCUUCCCCCACCAUUGUGGACUCACUUUAACCUUUAGAAAUCAUUAGUGUACAGUUUCAUUUUUAAUUGACAAGUAAAAGUUGUAUAUACUUACAAGGUACAACAUGGUGUUUCAACAUACGUCAGCGUUGUAGAAGGUCAAACUGAUAACGCGUCUCCAUUUUUUAAACAGAUCAGUUGUUGUAUAAUAUAGUUUUUAGCAUGUACCCUGGUCUAUGUAGUUAAAAUAUACUUGAUGCAAAAGUUUCCUGAUCAGAAAUAAUGAAAUGUACAUGUUUUUGUGGGCAAAUUAAUUCUUUGUUUAAAAUCAAGUGACCAGGUUUGCUCUGAACACAUGAUAUUGCUGGAACAAGAAUGUGAAUUAAAGCACUUCCCCUCGCCCCCCACCCCCAGUUUUUGGCCAGAGUUGGGUUUGAACCCACCACCUCCGGUGUAUGGGGCCAGCACCCUAUUCCUUGAGCCACAGGCAGCGCCCUAAAGCACAUUUUUAAAAACAUUUAAAAUAUAUUAAAAAGUGAUAUGUUCCAUUGACAGAAUAUUGAGUUAUUUUUGUCUACUUUUCAUGCUG
This is a long non-coding RNA of Nycticebus coucang (slow loris), 2436 nucleotides long. RefSeq lists it as uncharacterized. Lineage: Eukaryota; Metazoa; Chordata; Mammalia; Primates; Lorisidae. The record is from RefSeq and is a predicted model, not a curated record. The transcript is spliced from 3 exons.